Molecule: long non-coding RNA, 212 nt
Filed under: Lathyrus oleraceus (garden pea)
Lineage: Eukaryota; Viridiplantae; Streptophyta; Magnoliopsida; Fabales; Fabaceae
Description: Pisum sativum (pea) long non-coding RNA (PSAT_LNC009131)
Source: RNAcentral
UAUCCAAGUUGGAAUCAUUCUCAUAAGUGAUUUAAAGGUCCAUAUUUUCAUGUUUGUGGGUGAAUAGUUGAGUGUUCUCCAAAAAAUGACAAAUUUCCAUUCCCUUUCUGAUUACUAACAUCAUUGACUAACAUUAUUUUGUAUUAACUCUUAUUUUAAAUGUCACUUAUCUCAUGCCCUUUAUUAUUUUUGUCAUUUACUUUAUGCUUUUU